UCUCAGCUUAUUUUGCGCAGCUUAGGUGGGAGGCUAUGAACCUUUUCUUCUGGGAAGAGGGGAGCCGUCAGUGAGAUACCACUCUUGGUAAGCUAGAGCGCUCAGUCUUAACCGUCAUCCGGUAAGGCGACAGUUUCAGGCGGGCAGUUUGACUGGGGCAGUCACCUCCCAAAAGGUAAUGGAGGUGUGCAAAGGUUCCCUCAGGCUGAACGGAAAUCAGCCAUAGAGUGUAAAAGCAAAAGGGAGCUUGACUGCGAGACUGACAUGUCAAGCAGAGACGAAAGUCGGCUUUAGUGAUCCGACGGUGCUGUGUGGAAAGGCCGUCGCUCAACGGAUAAAAGUUACUCUAGGGAUAACA
RNAcentral lists this ribosomal RNA (358 nucleotides) under uncultured eukaryote. RNAcentral's name for it is "LSU rRNA". It matches the Rfam family "Bacterial large subunit ribosomal RNA", at positions 2122 to 2479 of the family's 2925-position model. The record is from RNAcentral.